Molecule: ribosomal RNA, 253 nt
Filed under: uncultured bacterium
Lineage: Bacteria
Description: partial 16S ribosomal RNA
Rfam family: Bacterial small subunit ribosomal RNA
Source: RNAcentral
UACGUAGGGUGCGAGCGUUGUCCGGAAUUACUGGGCGUAAAGAGCUCGUAGGUGGUUUGUCGCGUUGUUCGUGAAAACUCACAACUCAAUUGUGGGCGUGCGGGCGAUACGGGCAGACUGGAGUACUGCAGGGGAGACUGGAAUUCCUGGUGUAGCGGUGGAAUGCGUAGAUAUCGGGAGGAACAUCAGUGGCGAAGGCGGCCCUCUGGUCCAGUACUGACACUCAAGUGCGAAAGCGUGGGGAGCAAACAGG